UCGAGAAUAUUUUGCAAUGGGCGAAAGCCUGACAAUGCGACGCCGCGUGAGCGAUGAAGGCCUUCGGGUUGUAAAGCUCUGUCACGCUGGAAGAGAUCGUAAGAGGUUAAUACCCUCUUGCGUUGACGGUACAGCGAAAGGAAGCCACGGCUAACUCCGUGCCAGCAGCCGCGGUAAUACGGAGGGUGCAAGCGUUGUUCGGAAUUACUGGGCGUAAAGCGCACGUAGGCGGUGGCGUAAGUCGGAUGUGAAAGCCCUCGGCUCAACCGGGGAACUGCAUUCGAGACUGCGAUGCGUGAGUGCCGGAGAGGGUGGCGGAAUUCCAGGUGUAGGGGUGAAAUCCGUAGAUAUCUGGAGGAACACCAGUGGCGAAGGCGGCCACCUGGUCGGCAACUGACGCUGAGGUGCGAAAGCGUGGGGAUCAAACA
RNAcentral lists this ribosomal RNA (428 nucleotides) under uncultured prokaryote. RNAcentral describes it as "bacterial SSU rRNA". It matches the Rfam family "Bacterial small subunit ribosomal RNA", at positions 355 to 774 of the family's 1533-position model. The record is from RNAcentral.